UCGGCCUUUUGGCUAAGAUCAAGUGU
RNAcentral lists this non-coding RNA (26 nucleotides) under Gallus gallus (chicken). Lineage: Eukaryota; Metazoa; Chordata; Aves; Galliformes; Phasianidae. RNAcentral also lists the same sequence under 5 other names. The record is from RNAcentral.